This is a microRNA precursor of Loxodonta africana (African savanna elephant), 67 nucleotides long. Ensembl annotates it as microRNA 33a. Its record names the gene MIR33A. The record is from Ensembl. NCBI's taxonomy places the organism in Eukaryota, Metazoa, Chordata, Mammalia, Proboscidea, Elephantidae.
GGUGCAUUGUAGUUGCAUUGCAUGUUGUGUAGCUCCGUGCAAUGUUCCCACAGUGCAUCCCAGAGGC